RNAcentral lists this ribosomal RNA (253 nucleotides) under uncultured prokaryote. Its description in RNAcentral is "partial 16S ribosomal RNA". It matches the Rfam family "Bacterial small subunit ribosomal RNA", at positions 524 to 776 of the family's 1533-position model. The record is from RNAcentral.
AACGGAGGUUCCUAGCGUUGUUCGGAAUUACUGGGCGUAAAGGGAGCGCAGGCGGAAAAGUAAGUCUAAAGUGGAAUCCCGGGGCUUAACCCCGGAAGGGCUUUGGAUACUGCUUUUCUUGAGUUCGUGAGAGGAAGGCGGAAUUCAGGGUGUAGCGGUGAAAUGCUUAGAUAUCCUGAGGAACACCGGUGGCGAAAGCGGCCUUCUGGCGCGAAACUGACGCUGAGGCUCGAAAGCGUGGGGAGCGAACGGG